UACGUAGGGGGCGAGCGUUAUCCGGAAUUAUUGGGCGUAAAGAGUACGUAGGUGGUUUCCUAAGCGAGGGGUUUAAGGCAAUAGCUUAACCAUUGUUCGCCCCCCGAACUGGGUUACUUGAGUGCUGGAGGGGAAAGCGGAAUUCCUAGUGUAGCGGUGAAAUGCGUAGAUAUUAGGAGGAACACCAGUGGCGAAGGCGGCUUUCUGGACAGUAACUGACACUGAGGUACGAAAGUGUGGGGAGCAAACAGG
RNAcentral lists this ribosomal RNA (252 nucleotides) under uncultured bacterium. Its description in RNAcentral is "partial 16S ribosomal RNA". It matches the Rfam family "Bacterial small subunit ribosomal RNA", at positions 524 to 776 of the family's 1533-position model. The record is from RNAcentral.